This is a long non-coding RNA of Octopus sinensis (East Asian common octopus), 777 nucleotides long. RefSeq lists it as uncharacterized. NCBI's taxonomy places the organism in Eukaryota, Metazoa, Mollusca, Cephalopoda, Octopoda, Octopodidae. The transcript has 2 exons. The record is from RefSeq and is a predicted model, not a curated record.
GAACCCACAAAAUUUGUGAUGUGUUUGUUAGAACCCACAUAUCUUGUGAUAUGCUUAUGUUAGAAAUCACAAAUUUUGUGACAUUGUGACUAUAUUACAACCCACGAAAUUUGUGACAUUGUUUCUAUUUAAGAACCCAAUUUGUGACAUUUUGUUUAUGUUGUGAUGUGAUAUGUUAGAAUGUACAACAUUUGUGAUGCUGUGUCUGUCAGAACCCACAAGAUUUGUGACAUAACAACAUUAGAACCCACAAGAUUUGUGAAGUAACAACAUUAGAAAUCACAAGAUUUGUGAUGUUCUGUCUAUGUUGUGAUAAAACCCACAAAAUUUGUGACAUUGUGUCUUCAUUAGAACUCAGUAUAGCAUAUAAAAUAUUAUAAUCCAGCUGAGAUCAAAUAUGCUUUUUUCUUUCUUUUGUUAGCAGGGUACUGAUUAAAUAACCAUCAGUAAUAUAUUGUAUUAUAGAUCUAAUCAGUUGUAUCCUGUUUCAAUAAGUUUGGCCACAUGCCAAAAUCAAUACAUUCUAAUUGCUCUAUUAAUAACGAAUAUUAGUAUAAUGACAAGAGUGAUUGCUAUUGUAUUGUUUGUGAUAAUAAAAAUACAUAUUAUAAUGUAUAGAACGAGAUGAUUGAUGAUAACAAAAAUAAUAAUAAUGGUGAUGGAGAAGAUAUGCUAAAUGAAAAAAAAUAGAAUGAAAUGGAUUGUUGGAAAAGAACAAGUAAUAAUGAAAAAGAUACAAAUGAGAAAUAAAAAAUUUCUAAAAAUUUAAAUGUUUAA